Molecule: long non-coding RNA, 1244 nt
Filed under: Marmota monax (woodchuck)
Lineage: Eukaryota; Metazoa; Chordata; Mammalia; Rodentia; Sciuridae
Source: RNAcentral
CUUUUUUUUUUUUUGGUAUUUGGAAUUGAACUCGGGCACUCAACCACUGAGCUACAACCCCAGCCCUAUUUUGUAUUUUUUUAGAAACAAGGUUUCAGUUGCUUGGUGCCCCACUGUUGCUGAGACUGGCUUUGAACCCGCAAUCUUCCUGCCUCAGCCUCCCGAGCUGCUGGGAUUACAGGCAGGUGCCACUGCACCCAGCCUUGAGUGCUUGUUUUUUAAUUCUGGUUUUGCCGCUUACUGUGACCUGGAACAAGUUACAGAAUCUCACUGUGCCUCAGUUUCCCUUCUGUGAAAUGGGAACAGUAAACUAUGACUAUGACAGUGUUUCUCGGAUUAUAUGUGAUAAUGUGCCUUUGGAAAAAACUCAGUAUUACCACUUGUUAUUUAGAAGUGCCAAGUGUCCCAGCCCCCCACAUGUGAAAGGUUUGGUCAUUAGCAUGUGGGCAGUGUUGUGAGGUGAUAAAACUUUUAGGAGGUGGGGCCUGGUGGGAGGAAGUUAGGUCAUUGGGGGUGUAUCCUUGAGGGGAUUGUGGGACUCCAAUUCCUUCCUCUUUCUUUCCUUCCUCUUUCUUUCCUGGAUGCCAUGAGGUGAGUAGCUUCCUCUGGCAUGUGCACAGGGAACUGCUCUCCUUAUGGUAAACUGCCUGCCACAGGCCCAAAGGCAACAGGCCAAUAAACCAUGGUCUGAAACCUCUAAAACCACGAGCCAAAAUAAGCCUUCCCCCUUUUUUUUUAAUAUUUAUUUUUCAAUUAUAGUUGGACACAAUACCUUUCUUUUACUUAUUUAUUUUUAUGUGGUGCUGAGGAUCGAACCCAGGGCCUCGCAUGUGCUAGGCAAGCGCUCUACCGCUGAGCCACAACCCCAGCCCAACCUUUCCUUCUUAUCAGUGCAUUAUCUCAAGUAUUUUGUUACAGUAAUGGAAAGUUGACUAAUACUUCAUAAGAUGGCCAACCUUAUGAUACUUUACCAAACAUACUCAAGGGACUAUAGAGAAAGUUCCCUUUGCUAAGCAAAGAUAUAAUAGUGUUAUUUAUGCAUUUAUGUACAGUAUCAAAAGAAAGUGAGUUGUAAGCUGGGUGUGGCGGCACACCCCUGUAAAGCCAACAACUUGGGAGGCUGAGCAGAGGAUUAGGUUCAAGACCAGCUGUAGCAACUUAGUAAGAUCCUAUCUCAAAAUAAAAGACCCUGUCUCAAAAAAAUUGAAUUGAGAGUUCAAUUCCCUACUACUAAACAAAGAAAC